GACGAACGCUGGCGGCGUGCUUAACACAUGCAAGUCGAACGGGCCUUGUCCCCUUUUUUUUUGGGGGUGGGGUUAGUGGCGAACGGGUGAGUAACACGUGAGUAACCUGCCCCUCACUUCUGGAUAACCGCUUGAAAGGGUGGCUAAUACGGGGUGUUCUGGCCUGCUCGCAUGGGUGGGUUUGGAAAGAUUCGACCGGUUUGGUUGUUUUGGUGGGGGAUGGGCUCGCGGCCUAUCAGCUUGUUGGUGGGGUGAUGGCCUGCCAAGGCUUUGACGGGUAGCCGGCCUGGGGGGGUGGGCGGUCACACUGGGACUGAGCCACGGCCCAGACUCCUACGGGAGGCAGCAGUGGGGAAUAUUGCACAAUGGGCGCAAGCCUGAUGCAGCGACGCCGCGUGAGGGAUGGAGGCCUUCGGGUUGUGAACCUCUUUCGCCAGUGAAGAAGGUCCUGCUCUGUGUGGUGGGGUUGACGGUAGCUGGGUUAAUGAGGCACCGGCUAACUACG
RNAcentral lists this ribosomal RNA (505 nucleotides) under uncultured bacterium. Its description in RNAcentral is "partial 16S ribosomal RNA". It matches the Rfam family "Bacterial small subunit ribosomal RNA", at positions 28 to 505 of the family's 1533-position model. The record is from RNAcentral.